Molecule: ribosomal RNA, 506 nt
Filed under: uncultured bacterium
Lineage: Bacteria
Description: partial 16S ribosomal RNA
Rfam family: Bacterial small subunit ribosomal RNA
Source: RNAcentral
AGUGAACGCUGGCGGUAGGCCUAACACAUGCAAGUCGAACGGCAGCACAGGAGAGCUUGCUCUCUGGGUGGCGAGUGGCGGACGGGUGAGGAAUACAUCGGAAUCUACUUUUUCGUGGGGGAUAACGUAGGGAAACUUACGCUAAUACCGCAUACGACCUACGGGUGAAAGCAGGGGAUCUUCGGACCUUGCGCGAUUGAAUGAGCCGAUGUCGGAUUAGCUAGUUGGCGGGGUAAAGGCCCACCAAGGCGACGAUCCGUAGCUGGUCUGAGGGGAUGAUCAGCCACACUGGGACUGAGACACGGUCCAGACUCCUACGGGAGGCAGCAGUGGGGAAUAUUUGACAAUGGGCGCAAGCCUGAUCCAGCCAUACCGCGUGGGUGAAGAAGGCCUUCGGGUUGUAAAGCCCUUUUGUUGGGAAAGAAAUCCAGCUGGUUAAUACCCGGUUGGGAUGACGGUACCCAAAGAAUAAGCACCGGCUAACUUCGUGCCAGCCGCCGCAGUAA